AUAUAAUAGUAUGCUUGGUUUGCCAGUGAUAGGUUAUUAUGGUGAGUCCAUACUGGACUGAAAUCACUGAACCACUCGCAAGAGUCCAAUGGUACACCGAUGAUCUUCUCCUCGAAUAGAUCAUACUUGUUCAAGAUUAAAACGAAUGGGGUUUCUUUGAAACAGGGAUGUCUUACCAUUGUUUCAAAGAGUUCUUUGAUAUGCAUCAUCUUGUUCUGAAGUAGUGUACCGCUACCACAGUCCUCCUGAGUAAGCCACAUCUGAUCAUAGUCACUCAGGGCUGCACAAAAUACUACAACACGAACAUCUUCAAACAUCUCUACCCACUUGCACCCUUCAUUCAUCCCUUUGGCACUUACCCUUAUAAGUUGGUAUCUAGUGAGAGGUGGGGGUGGAGCUUCAAGAUUAUCUGUGUAGGUCUCAGACAUUGGACUCCGAUCAUCAAGGGAAAAU
RNAcentral lists this unclassified non-coding RNA (453 nucleotides) under Hevea brasiliensis (rubber tree). The record is from RNAcentral. Lineage: Eukaryota; Viridiplantae; Streptophyta; Magnoliopsida; Malpighiales; Euphorbiaceae.